This 451-nucleotide ribosomal RNA is filed under the name uncultured bacterium. RNAcentral's name for it is "bacterial SSU rRNA". It matches the Rfam family "Bacterial small subunit ribosomal RNA", at positions 29 to 475 of the family's 1533-position model. The record is from RNAcentral.
AUUAAACGCUGGCGGCAUGCCUUACACAUGCAAGUCGAACGGCAGCACGGGGGCAACCCUGGUGGCGAGUGGCGGACGGGUGAGUAAUGCAUCGGAACGUGCCCUGAAGUGGGGGGAUAACGCAGCGAAAGCUACGCUAAUACCGCAUAUUCUGUGAGCAGGAAAGCAGGGGAUCGCAAGACCUUGCGCUUUGGGAGCGGCCGAUGUCGGAUUAGCUAGUUGGUGGGGUAAAGGCCUACCAAGGCGACGAUCCGUAGCGGGUCUGAGAGGAUGAUCCGCCACACUGGGACUGAGACACGGCCCAGACUCCUACGGGAGGCAGCAGUGGGGAAUUUUGGACAAUGGGCGGAAGCCUGAUCCAGCCAUGCCGCGUGAGUGAAGAAGGCCUCGGGUUGUAAAGCUCUUUCGGUCGGGGAAGGAAAUUGCUUCGGUUAAUACCUGGAGUAGAUGA